GGGGAUUUAGCUCAGCGGCAUAAGUACCUGCCUUGCAAGCAGGUGGUCGUGAGUUCGAUCCCCA
This is a transfer RNA of Cavia porcellus (domestic guinea pig), 64 nucleotides long. It matches the Rfam family "tRNA". From Rfam's summary of the family: Transfer RNA (tRNA) molecules are approximately 80 nucleotides in length. Their secondary structure includes four short double-helical elements and three loops (D, anti-codon, and T loops). Lineage: Eukaryota; Metazoa; Chordata; Mammalia; Rodentia; Caviidae. The record is from Rfam.